CACAUAGCGACGCAAGAAGAUACAAACAUCACGCUGGCAUAGAGACGCACAGUGAAAUCUCUCAGACACAGCAGGGCAGCCAUGAAGUAACAAUUGACAGAAACAGACCCAGUGCCGACGUCCCUAAAAAAUAUCAUUGAUAUCAUUAUGCCAGGACAUGGGCGUGAUCUUUUUCAGAUGCAUACAACCCCCCACCCCCAAAUACUAGCGGUGUUCCAUAUCGACAUCCUCCCUCUUUAAACCCCUCUUACGUACUUUCCGUCCAUCUUAGAGAAAACCCCUCUGCAAACCAGCCUACACGUAUUCGACACUCGACAGGAAACUUUAAUCUGUGUCAGUCUGGAGCUUACAAGUAACCAGCCCCAACUGCUGACUUCAUCAUUUCAUCAUUCACAUCUUCAAGCUGUAUUAGCCCUCAUGUCAGCACUCUUUGUGUGAAUAGGCAAUGCCUUCCCCUGUCCUGCAGCUCCC
Molecule: long non-coding RNA, 471 nt
Organism: Sinocyclocheilus anshuiensis
Lineage: Eukaryota; Metazoa; Chordata; Actinopteri; Cypriniformes; Cyprinidae
Exons: 3
Source: RefSeq, a predicted model, not a curated record